This 103-nucleotide microRNA precursor is filed under the name Marmota monax (woodchuck). Lineage: Eukaryota; Metazoa; Chordata; Mammalia; Rodentia; Sciuridae. The record is from RNAcentral.
GGUAUAAUUGCUGGAUCAAAUGAUAAGUAUAUGUUUGAUUUUGUAAGAAACCGCCAUACUCUUUUCCAGAAUGGUUGGACCAUUUGACAUUCCCUUCAGCAAU